GACGAACGCUGGCGGCGUGCUUAACACAUGCGAGUCGAACGGAAAGGCCUUUUCGGAGGUACUCGAGUGGCGAACGGGUGAGUAACACGUGGGUGAUCUGCCCUGCACUCUGGGAUAAGCCUGGGAAACUGGGUCUAAUACCGGAUAGGACCGCACUUUAGUGUGUGUGGUGGAAAGUUGUUUCGGUGUAGGAUGAGCCCGCGGCCUAUCAGCUUGUUGGUGGGGUAAUGGCCUACCAAGGCGGCGACGGGUAGCCGGACUGAGAGGUUGGUCGGCCACAUUGGGAAUGAGAUACGGCCCAGACUCCUACGGGAGGCAGCAGUGGGGAAUAUUGCACAAUGGGCGCAAGCCUGAUGCAGCGACGCCGCGUGGGGGAUGACGGCCUUCGGGUCGUAAACUCCUUUCGCCAGGGACGAAGCGUUUUGUGACGGUACCUGGAGAAGAAGCACCGGCUAACUACGUG
RNAcentral lists this ribosomal RNA (463 nucleotides) under uncultured bacterium. RNAcentral's name for it is "partial 16S ribosomal RNA". It matches the Rfam family "Bacterial small subunit ribosomal RNA", at positions 28 to 507 of the family's 1533-position model. The record is from RNAcentral.